GGUGAAUAUUGCACAAUGGGCGAAAGCCUGAUGCAGCAACGCCGCGUGAGCGAUGAAGGCCUUCGGGUCGUAAAGCUCUGUCCUUGGGGAAGAAAAAAAUGACGGUACCCUUGGAGGAAGCCCCGGCUAACUACGUGCCAGCAGCCGCGGUAAUACGUAGGGGGCGAGCGUUAUCCGGAAUUAUUGGGCGUAAAGAGUGCGUAGGUGGUUACCUAAGCGCAGGGUUUAAGGCAAUGGCUCAACCAUUGUAUGCCUUGCGAACUGGGCUACUUGAGUGCAGGAGAGGAAAGCGGAAUUCCUAGUGUAGCGGUGAAAUGCGUAGAUAUUAGGAGGAACACCAGUGGCGAAGGCGGCUUUCUGGACUGUAACUGACACUGAGGCUCGAGAGCGUGGGGAGCAAACA
RNAcentral lists this ribosomal RNA (403 nucleotides) under uncultured Eubacteriales bacterium. RNAcentral describes it as "bacterial SSU rRNA". It matches the Rfam family "Bacterial small subunit ribosomal RNA", at positions 356 to 774 of the family's 1533-position model. Lineage: Bacteria; Bacillati; Bacillota; Clostridia; Eubacteriales. The record is from RNAcentral.